This is a long non-coding RNA of Papaver somniferum (opium poppy), 536 nucleotides long. RefSeq lists it as uncharacterized. The transcript has 2 exons. NCBI's taxonomy places the organism in Eukaryota, Viridiplantae, Streptophyta, Magnoliopsida, Ranunculales, Papaveraceae. The record is from RefSeq and is a predicted model, not a curated record.
UUCUCUCUGGUUUUUCUUCUUGCGUUUUUUCCCUCCCUGGAUAUUUUCUUCUCUGCGAAUAUUUCUUUCUUCUUUUUUUCUUCAAAUCCUCUAAGAACAAGAUAUGAGAUGUGAGAAAUGAAUGGGUUUUGGCGAUUCAUUUGAAUGAUGGUGUUGUAUCAGGGAGCAUCUUACUUCUUCCUCUCUUGGCUGCCAUUGUUUCUUUUUAAGGGAGUACAAGUCUAGGGUUUGAUAUUCAUGAAUAUGUUAGCUGAAAUUGUUAAUUCUUGGUGAUGAAAUUAGCUUAACAAGGAUUCAAAUCCUGAACAGCCCACUUGCAAUCGAAGUAUCUUAUAUUCCGUAUACCGGAUGAAGCUGAAUUUUUAGUAUGUUGUUUAUAUAUAUGUAAGUAACCUACUGUAAAAUUUUAUGAAUUUCUGAUCAAUUUAGGUAUACUAAAGUAUGGGAUUAACGUGCCUGACUUCUGUAAGACAAUAAUAUAAGUCUGUCAAGUUAUGAUGUGGUUAUAUUCUUAUUGAACCGUUAAAAGCCUGUAA